Molecule: long non-coding RNA, 345 nt
Filed under: Solanum tuberosum (potato)
Lineage: Eukaryota; Viridiplantae; Streptophyta; Magnoliopsida; Solanales; Solanaceae
Description: long non-coding RNA (STUB_LNC001920)
Source: RNAcentral
AUGGAACUAUGUGAAAAGCAUAAAGAAGAAAUAAAAAUGGAAAAAAUAUUAGUAAAAAACUUGGCAUGUUGCAAAAAUAAAACAGCACCUCAAUUUGGUUGUACGGAUAGGUAUUAUAAAAAUAGAAAGAAAUAUAAUAAAAAAUACAGAUCAAAAUAUAAGUACAAAAGACCAAGGAGAAACUACUAUGUAAAAAACUACAAAACCAAAAGACCAUAUAGACCAAAGAGAAAACUAACGGAAUGUACUUGUUAUAAUUGUGGAAAAUUAGGACACAUAGCUAAAGAUUGCAAAUUACCUAAAAAUCCAAAGAAAAAACAAAUAUCAGAAAUACUAGUAGACAAC